GUGUCAGCCGCCGCGGUAAUACGUAGGUGGCAAGCGUUGUCCGGAUUUAUUGGGUUUAAAGGGUGCGUAGGUGGUUCCAUAAGUCAGUGGUGAAAUACGGCAGCUUAACUGUCGAGGUGCCAUUGAUACUGCGGAACUUGAGUACAGACGAGGUAGGCGGAAUUGACGGUGUAGCGGUGAAAUGCUUAGAUAUCGUCAAGAACACCGAUAGCGAAGGCAGCUUACUAGACUGUAACUGACACUGAGGCACGAAAGUGUGGGGAUCAAACAGGAUUAGAUACCCGCGUAGUCC
Molecule: ribosomal RNA, 292 nt
Filed under: uncultured bacterium
Lineage: Bacteria
Description: partial 16S ribosomal RNA
Rfam family: Bacterial small subunit ribosomal RNA
Source: RNAcentral